This is a long non-coding RNA of Carassius gibelio (silver crucian carp), 5832 nucleotides long. RefSeq lists it as uncharacterized. Lineage: Eukaryota; Metazoa; Chordata; Actinopteri; Cypriniformes; Cyprinidae. The transcript is spliced from 4 exons. The record is from RefSeq and is a predicted model, not a curated record.
CAGAAGAAGAAGCAGAAGAAGAAGAAUUUACGAUUGGGAAAUCCUCGGUUUCCGUUUACUAGGUCGAGGCAAGCUGAGCAAAAUAUCCAAAAGUACUUUUUUUUUUACACAAGUUUUGGAGCUUAAGCAUCGAACAUCACAUCGCAAGCAAAGAUGAUUCAAACGUUUGCCUGUUGUUGAUGAUUUUUGCACUUCUUCACAUUGGCUUUCAAUUAAACUUGAACAGAAAGUAACAUUUUUGGUUUCCGCACAUUUUGGACUUAUUUUCGAAAACGUGGAGGAAAUGCUAGGUGUUUUUCUCACACUGUGUGAUUUGCUCUUUCAUGUUGCUUCUGGUGUUGAGAUGAACGAAAUGUCAGUGAUGGAAGGAGAUUCAGUCACUUUAAAUACUGAUAGACAAGACAGAAUUAUGUGGGAUUACAAUGAAGAUCGCAUUGUUUACAUCACUGGAGAUCAGACAAUAAUCUGUACAGAUCCAGGCUGUCCUGAGAGCUUCACAGGUCGACUGAAGGUGGACAAUCAGACUGGAUCUCUGAUCAUCACAAACACAGACUCUGGACUUUUUCAUCAACAACCGCUACCAUGAAAAAACCUUCAAUGUUACUGUUCAUGACUACUGAUCUUCUUUCAACCUAAGUCAGAACUCAGAAGUAAGGAUUGGAACACCACUACUAUGCCGUCAAACGUCAUCAUUCGUUGUCUAGCUCUUACAAUACACACAUAUACUGGUGUGCUGGUGUGCAUUAGAGCCUUGAAUUAUCAUUCUGUAUUAAUGAGCUGCUUACGGACACACACAUAUCGGAAAUCGCACAGCUCACACAUCCAGGAGAAAAUAAACUUGUCAAUGCUGCCCCACGACUUUUAUUAAAUACAGUUUAAAUACUGAAUCGCUACAUUACAUUUUCUAGCGACGAGAGAAUACAAUCGCUGUUUUUAAGUAAACUCACUCUAAAAAGAUAAACGAACAGACGCGAAUACACGCAACUUCCAUUUCUCCUUCUCGAAUAGGCAAUAUUUGAGAAAAUGGUUUAGCGAUUUCUAAUUAUUGGGGGGAUUACAGUCUGUAAUGAUAUGACGUUAGCAAAUAUUAGCAAUUUUUUGCAAACAUUUCUUUGAGUAACAUGACCGUUAAUAUGAACUCACAAUUGAAUGUUACAUAAAACAAUUGAUUACUUUUUGUUAUAAUCCUUAUUUAUGCCAAAAAAACCUUACAUUUAUGUGUCUUUUUCUUCGCUGUAGCUGCCAUGUUUCCGAGACACUUCAUACCCCUUCGUUGAAGUGUAGUCCCAAAAAAUCUUAAUUUGAAGGGCUGUCUGGCCCUUCCCCUUACCCCUCCAACCAAAAGAGAAUCGAGACACCCCUACUCCUUCACGUGAACGCGCGAAACGGAGCGGUAGGGGAGAGGGGAAGGGCUAAGGGGUAGAAUUGGGAUUGGGUCGAAAACGGAAGUUUGGAAAGAAAUCUGCAAGAUUUGGCCUUGAAUCACAUCUCUCUCUCACACACACACACACACAUACUCCCUCUCUCAUAAACUAUUUCUUUCACACACACUACCUCACUUUCAUACACAUUAUCUCUCACACACAUACUGUCUGGUCACCAUAAUUGCCCUCUGGACAAGCCUCCAUGUUUAUUCUCUCUCUCUCUCUCUCUCUCUCUCUCUCUCUCUCAUAGACUCACAGCCCUCGUGAUCUUGUUGCUUUACAGUUCAUGUUAUAUGAUAAUUUAUAUGUUAUAGUUUAAGGUGUCUUUUAAAUGUUCUUUUCAGAAGUGUUCAUCUAAGAGAACAAUUUGAAUUGUACAAUACCAAACUAACUCACAUACAGCGUGUGCAUGCUCAAGAUGCUUAUUAGUUCAUGUUACAAUGCAUUGAUAUGACUAAUGUUUAGGUGGUUUUUUUAAGGAUUCCAAAAUUCAAAACAGUGUUCAUCUAACCAGUUAUAAUUUUACAAUUACAAUUUAUGCGUAAUUUACAUUUUUCAUGUGAUUAUUGUGGUUUGUUGUUUACAGUAAGGCUGUAACUGUUAAUCUGGUUAUGGAACCAAACACACUAAAGACUAAUGAUUUGGUAAAUGGGUUUCAAAUAAAUAUUUUCUGUUUUUCUACAGGGACGUCCAUUCAUUGUCAUUUCCACAACACCCAGUCAUUUCCACCACCUCGUAACUCUUUAAAAAAUAUGUACAAAAUUCUAAUCACUCAUUAAAAAUUUCUGCAUAGAUUAUAGGAUAAUGUUCCACUUAAUGCAAUAACUCAACUAGUUAUUUUUCAGAAAUGUAUCUAACCAAUGCAAUAUUAUAUUUCAGGUGGUGGUGGAUAUAAGCUUUGCGUUUGGGCCUCAUGACAAUUAAUUUACUUAAACCACAAAUCUAUGCUAAUUGCGAUAUAGGUAUAAAUUGGUAAAACUAUGUGUGACAGUGGUCUUACAAUGUUACAACGAUCGGAAAAUGUCAAAAACACCAAUUUGUCUUAAAAUGUAAGUGCGUUCUCUUAUGGAUCAUUAAACUAGACUAGUUAUAUUUAACUGUUAGAUUGUGACAGUUUUGAUUUGAACACUUUUUCCCUCCAGUUCACAAGGCCAAAAGUGCCUGUAGUUGAAGAACCACCCUAGGUGUGCAUUACACAAUAUAAAUAUGUAAAUAACUGCUUGAUGCACAACUAGGCAUGGCUUAUCCGUGGUCACUUGUCAGCACUCAAAAUUUAAAGCUGUUAUUGGUGUUUAUGGUACAGUUACCGAAAUGGGAAAAAGGUGGUUAUCUUCAUCAGUUAAAUGAAAUCUGUUCAUUAUAUAACGUAAUCUUGAUUCUUUCAUAUCCACACUUUUUAAUGUUGUGUAAUUUGUUGACCUCAGCAAAAAGAUCCUCCAGCAGCUGUUGAUUUGUGUUGCAGAUGCUACUGCUGCCAAACGAGAUGAAAUGAAGUCAGGGCAGGAUGGAGAAUCUUUCACUUUAGAUCCAGGUGUGAUAAAUAACCCAAAUUAUUUGAUUACAUGGCUUUUUAAUGACACUUGCAUUGCUCAAAUCAGUGGAGAUCAGAGUAAGAUCCGUACAGAUGUUAAUUGUGAAGAUGGUAGUGAGAGAUUCAUAGACUGACUGGAGGUGAAUCAGACUGGAUCUCUGACCAUCAUGAACAUCACAAACACAGACUCUGGAGAAUUACAGACAGCUGUUUAAACAAGAUUGUGUGUGCAAGAUAUGAAAAUAUGUAUUUUCUUCCCAAUUUUCCAAUUCGUCAAAGUCGUCUGUGUAUGUAACUGAGUCAUUAUUAUUCAAACAGGCAGCAGGGCGGAGCUAAGUCAAGUUCAGGUGGUUUUUAAAGGGGUCAUAUGAUGAGAUUUACAUCUCUUCUUUCUCAUGCAAAGAAAGAAGACAUAACUUUUAUUAUCCCAGCGUCAUUUCAUGGAGAAGCUGUGUGUUUCAUUGUGAAAGUGAAACUACUUUAUUUGGCCUUUCAAAAGAGGAGGAGAUAUCCACUUUGUCAUGCCUGGAGCUGAUCUGUGCUGGAAUACAUCAAAUUCACACUCACCGUGGACAAAGCGGAGUCCAGCCCGGGGUCGUCACAUGGGGUUGCCCGCAAUCCCCGGCCGCUCCUUUGUCGAAUCUGCCAACCAUUCUUCGUUAUAGCCACUGGCUUUGCAAGGACAGUCUGGCGCUUCUGUCUCACAGUUUGGAAGUAGGUUUACAUCUGUAAAGGAUUUGCCACUGAUGAUUCAAAUGCGAAUUUUGAGCAGUGUAAAAUAGAGCUUGUUGUUUGUUAUUUCUCCAAUCACAAAUGCAGACAUGGUUUUGUGUUUAUGUGACAUACGACGAUAUACAACGCAACACGUAAAAAGACAGUAGAAGUCAUUAUAAUCAGUAAUUAUGUCCCCACUGGAUGCAACAAUUGCCUCGUUUGAAACCGGUUUUAUUGUUUUUGUCCUGUUAUGCCGGUGCUCUGACUGGGACACGCCAUAACAGUAUAUGUUGAGGGACGUAUCACAACACCAUGGAUAGCUGGCCAAUCAGAGAACACGUCACUUUUCAGAACGAUGAGCUUUGUAAAAAAUUAUGCGUUUCAAAAAGGCGGGGCAUAGAGGAGCAGCAAUAAUGUACAUUAUGUGGAAAUAAUAUUUUAAUGUUUUUGAACCUUAAACCGCAUAAACAUAUGGCAUUACACGAAAUAAUGUUCUUUUCAGCAGCAUCAUAUGACCCCUUUAAACAAUAUUCAUAUGUUAGUCAGACUAAGGCUGUGCUAAUGGCACGUCCCAAUAAAAACUGAGACUGCCACUAAAACACCACCGUGGCAUUAUUUAUUAUUUUAUUUUCAUUGAAAUGGACAGUGAAGAGACAAUGGGAAAUUAGGAAAGAAUUAUCAAACUCACUCAAAUGGUAUUUCACAUACCUUCAAUUACAUAAACAUUGCUUCAAAAAAGGCAAUUAAGCAGUAAACCAGCAAUAAAGUUAGAAACAAAAUGUUACCAGCAAAACCCUGAGUGCUUGACGUUUUUUCAGUGUGUAGAGGGUUUUUUUAAGCUGCUAUAGAGAUCCAAAACAAGAGCAAAGGACAAAUUCUUUGUUUCUUGUCAUUUGCACCAUAAUAACAUUAGAACUGAUGUACUUGACAGAUCAGUUAUUUUGUCCCAUCUGUUAAUGUCCUCUUUUAACUGACUGUUUACAUGAUUAACUCGCCAAAAUGGUUAUUUUGACCAGGAAAUGUAUUUGAUGUAUUUAUAAUCACACAAGGCAUCAUACUGCAAGACACAAAUGCUCUUCAUGUAUUGUAGUUGGCACUGAUGGUUGCGUUAUUUUACUAUUGACAUCUCACUGUUACAUAUUAUGAUAACUUGUGUAGUGUGACAAAAUGUGGUUUUAGAAUGUUACCAUUAGUUGCUUAGUAAUUACGUACCUCAAAUUCACAUGCUCUGGAUAAUCAUGGAAUCACAGUGUUCUGUAUAAACCGUUGUUUCAGUGUUUGGGUGGAAAAAAUUUGAACUUUUCCAAUUUUUAUUAAAAAAGUAUUAAAAUUCCACUCAGGAAAAACUCUGUAGUAAAGCACAAUAUCUAUAUGAUAAUGUGCAAUGCUAGAGCCAUUAUGCACACAAGUCACAUGGUGCUUUCGUCCAAUCAAUGAUACUGAGUAUACAAAUAAAAACAUUACCCGAGGUUUAAGGAUGUAUAGCAUCAGAAUGAAACAUCAUCUUAUGUAUACCAAGGAUUCAAGUGCAGGCAAAAAGCACAGGAUAAGUUAUCAUAAUAAGCAAUGGUAUUAGAGCAACUAGCAAACUUUUUGGGAUGAGAGUGAUGCUGUCAUCUCACAUGCUCAUAUACACACCAUAACAGCCAAAAAUGUGUCAUUUGUGCUCAACAAUUUAACAACAUUAAUAAUAAUUCACCCACCUUUGUGUUGUGCUUUAACUUAUCCACUCUUUAACUGAUAUUUAUACCUUUUUUGACAAAGCGAUCAUUUGAAUAUAGAGCUACAAGUUCAAAAUCUGAUCUAUUAUCAUGCUACAAUAUGUCACUCAUUAAUCAACUUAGCCUAUAAAAUGUAGAAAUUGGAAUACUGGUGAAAUUAUUAAAAAAUUUGUCCAGCCACCCAAACCAAUUUUGAUGUGCAAUCAAAUUCCAGCCGUCUGGCAACACUGGUUCUGUUAUAAUGUGCAGAAGUUAAACAUAGUUUUUAUUUGUACUUUUAUGUGAAUCACAACAGAGUUGUAAUGUCAUCUUGCCUGAAAAAAAAAGAAGAAAAAAAAGGUGAUAUUUCAUGAAGUGCUAUUUAGAUGUGGUGCAGUCUAAUUUCAGGUGAGGAUUUUUCCCCCAUCUUUCUCCUAGUUCUUUCCAUGAAUUGUUUGUGCGA